Molecule: RNA transcript, 1389 nt
Organism: Malus domestica (apple)
Lineage: Eukaryota; Viridiplantae; Streptophyta; Magnoliopsida; Rosales; Rosaceae
Gene name: probable adenylate kinase 6, chloroplastic
Source: RefSeq, a predicted model, not a curated record
CCACGCUCCCUCUCCCCAAACCACCUAAACCAGUAAACCUCUCUCUCCUCCCUCUCUCCCUCCCUCUCUCUCUCUCUCUCUCUCUCUGCAAUUCAAAAGACUUUUUGGUCCCUCCCAUGGCGGUUCUGAACCGCGUUUUGAGAUCACGACGACCGGGAAGCUUCUUCUCGCUCCGGAGCUUCCGCUCCUCGUCUUUUCUAAAUUCCGAAACUGACCUCAAAGCGUCUGCCUCCGUCAUCCCAAAGCCCCUUCCCCUGCAUCGCGACGUCAAGGACAGGAAUGUCCGGUGGGUCUUCCUCGGCUGCCCCGGCGUCGGAAAGGGAACCUACGCCUCCCGCCUCUGCCACCUCCUCGGCGUCCCUCACAUCGCCACCGGCGAUCUCGUCCGCGACGAGCUGGCUGCCUCCGGCCCCUUCGCUCUUCAGCUUGCGGAGGUUGUGAAUCAGGGGAAAUUGGUUUCGGAUGAGAUUAUAAUAAACUUGUUGUCCAAGCGUCUUGAGGCUAGUGCAGCUAAGGGUGAAACUGGCUUCAUUCUUGACGGUUUUCCGAGGACGAUUCGACAGGCGGAAAUUUUGGAGGGAGUGACAGACAUUGACUUGGUUGUCAACCUAAAGCUUCGUGAAGAGGCUUUGCUUGCGAAGUGUCUUGGAAGGAGGAUUUGUAGUGACUGUGGAGGAAAUUAUAAUGUUGCCUCCAUUGACAUUAAGGCCGAGGAUGGGAACCCUGGCAUGUACAUGGCUCCACUUCUUCCCCCUCCACAAUGUGCAUCAAAGCUUAUCACGAGAUCCGAUGACACUGAAGAAGUUGUUAAGGAGCGACUUCGUAUAUACAACGAUAUGAGUCAACCUGUGGAGGAGUUCUACCGAAGUCGGGGAAAAUUGUUAGAGUUUGAUCUUCCUGGAGGGAUUCCUGAAUCCUGGCCAAAGCUACUUCGGGCUUUGAAUCUGGAAGACCCUGAAGACAAAUGGUCUGCAGCAGCAUGAUUCGUAAAUCCUGUACUAUAUACACUAGACAAGUUAGUUUUCAUUAGGUAAGCUAUAUCAUUCUUUGCAAUGUCAUGGAAGCAGCUGCAUAUAAUUUGCAAUUGAAGGGGAAAACUUUGGUGUGCAAUAAAAAGCAGAAGAGGUUUAAAGUUAGAGUUCCCUCUCCCCCCUCGAACGAGGGACGAAAGGGAAUGGACAUGUUGCAUUAUGUGGGUUCUAACCAUGUAAAGAAUAAAAUGUUGGAUCGGACGAGGGUUCGCGUCGUUCGGAAUCCAAUCGCGUGGUGGUUGAUGCUGAUACUUAAAGUUUUGUUUCUGUAUUUGUCAAUAGAAGAUAGAUUGAUCGACUUGUAAACCAUCUGAGGUAUAUUAAUGUUACACCUUUACAACUUUGCACCUUGAAAAUA